Molecule: small RNA, 489 nt
Filed under: Pongo abelii (Sumatran orangutan)
Lineage: Eukaryota; Metazoa; Chordata; Mammalia; Primates; Hominidae
Description: processed transcript
Source: RNAcentral
AGAACAGGGGCUGCCGAUGCUCUGUCUCCCAGUCUACCUGGAGUGAUUCAACAUAGAAAUCAAUGAAACAAAUGCCACCAUGGCUGAGUGAGACCUUUCAUUUUUCUUCCCAGGUGUUGGAGAAGGCUUCUGGUGAAGGAUUUGGCAAAACCGCCGAGGUUCCUUCCUGGUGCUGCUCCUGAGGGAAUGCUUCCGAGACCUGAGCUGGCUGGCACUCAUCCAUAGUGUCCGUGGGGAGGCGGGGCUGCUGGUGACCAGUAUCGUCCCAAAGACCCCGUUUUUCUGGGCCAUGCACAUCACUGAGGCUCUGCACCAGAACAUGCAGGUGCUGUUUAGCACCCUGGCUCAGGCGGAGGAGCAGCAGCCCUACCUGGAGGGCUCCGCCGUUACGCGCGGGACUCGCUGUCUGGCAGAGUACCACCUGGGGGAUUAUGGACACGCCUGGAACAGGUGUUGGGUACUGGACAGGGUGGACACCUGGGCUGUGGU